UUGGGUUAAGUCCCGCAACGAGCGCAACCCUUGUCUUUAGUUGCCAUCAUUUAGUUGGGCACUCUAAAGAGACUGCCGGUGUCAAACCGGGAGGAAGGUGGGGGAUGACGUCAAGUCCUCAUGGCCUUUAUGACCAGGGCUACACACGUACUACAAUGGCCGGUACAAAGGGCAGCCACUUAGCGAUAAGGAGCCAAUCCCGUAAAGCCGGUCUCAGUCCGGAUUGGAGUCUGCAACUCGACUCCAUGAAGUUGGAAUCGCUAGUAAUCGCAGAUCAGCACGCUGCGGUGAAUACGUUCCCGGGCCUU
Molecule: ribosomal RNA, 308 nt
Filed under: uncultured Desulfocapsa sp.
Lineage: Bacteria; Pseudomonadati; Thermodesulfobacteriota; Desulfobulbia; Desulfobulbales; Desulfocapsaceae
Description: bacterial SSU rRNA
Rfam family: Bacterial small subunit ribosomal RNA
Source: RNAcentral